GACUGAAUUGAACAAGGGAUGAACUGA
This 27-nucleotide non-coding RNA is filed under the name Rattus norvegicus (Norway rat). Lineage: Eukaryota; Metazoa; Chordata; Mammalia; Rodentia; Muridae. The record is from RNAcentral.